GGUCCCAUAGCUCAGUUGGUUAGAGCGUCGUACUAAUAGUAUGAGUCAAUCGUAACGUUGGUAAAUGCGAAGGCCGUGAGUUCAAGCCUCACUGGGACCA
RNAcentral lists this transfer RNA (100 nucleotides) under Xylaria cubensis. Its description in RNAcentral is "tRNA-Ile". It matches the Rfam family "tRNA". From Rfam's summary of the family: Transfer RNA (tRNA) molecules are approximately 80 nucleotides in length. Their secondary structure includes four short double-helical elements and three loops (D, anti-codon, and T loops). Further hydrogen bonds mediate the characteristic L-shaped molecular structure. tRNAs have two regions of fundamental functional importance: the anti-codon, which is responsible for specific mRNA codon recognition, and the 3' end, to which the tRNAs corresponding amino acid is attached (by aminoacyl-tRNA synthetases). tRNAs cope with the degeneracy of the genetic code in two manners: having more than one tRNA (with a specific anti-codon) for a particular amino acid; and 'wobble' base-pairing, i.e. permitting non-standard base-pairing at the 3rd anti-codon position. RNAcentral also lists the same sequence under 1 other name. Lineage: Eukaryota; Fungi; Ascomycota; Sordariomycetes; Xylariales; Xylariaceae. The record is from RNAcentral.